This 76-nucleotide transfer RNA is filed under the name uncultured Acidimicrobiales bacterium. RNAcentral describes it as "tRNA-Ala-GGC". It matches the Rfam family "tRNA". Rfam says of the family: Transfer RNA (tRNA) molecules are approximately 80 nucleotides in length. Their secondary structure includes four short double-helical elements and three loops (D, anti-codon, and T loops). The record is from RNAcentral. Lineage: Bacteria; Bacillati; Actinomycetota; Acidimicrobiia; Acidimicrobiales.
GGGGCUAUAGCUCAGUUGGUAGAGCGCUUCCAUGGCAUGGAAGAGGUCGGGGGUUCGAUUCCCCCUAGCUCCACCC